CACCGCGGUUAUACGAGAGGCCCAAGCUGACAGUUAACGGCGUAAAGAGUGGUUAAUACACGCACAAAAUAAAGCCGAACAUCUUCAAAGUUGUAUAACGCACUCGAAGACAUGAAGAUCAGCCACGAAAGUGGCUUUACAUAACUUGAACCCACGAAAGCUAGGAAA
This 168-nucleotide ribosomal RNA is filed under the name Rhabdamia gracilis (luminous cardinalfish). Its description in RNAcentral is "partial 12S rRNA". Lineage: Eukaryota; Metazoa; Chordata; Actinopteri; Kurtiformes; Apogonidae. The record is from RNAcentral.